Jaapia argillacea is the source of this 85-nucleotide transfer RNA. It matches the Rfam family "tRNA". Rfam says of the family: Transfer RNA (tRNA) molecules are approximately 80 nucleotides in length. Lineage: Eukaryota; Fungi; Basidiomycota; Agaricomycetes; Jaapiales; Jaapiaceae. The record is from Rfam.
GUCGGGUUAGCGUAAUGGUUAACGCGCCAGUUUCCGGUUGUUAACCUCUAGCUGGAGAUUCUGGGUUCGAGUCCCAGGCUUGACG